AAGGUUUUAAGUUAAUAAAACUUAUAAUUUUCAAAAUUAUCAUUAAAGAAAUUCUUUAAGCCUUA
RNAcentral lists this transfer RNA (65 nucleotides) under Acraea epaea. RNAcentral describes it as "tRNA-Trp". The record is from RNAcentral. Lineage: Eukaryota; Metazoa; Arthropoda; Insecta; Lepidoptera; Nymphalidae.